GGCUCUUUGGUUAUAUAAGUAUAAAGAGUCGAGCCUGCCCGGUGAAAAUUAUUUAACGGCCGCGGUACUCUGACCGUGCAAAGGUAGCAUAAUCAUUUGCCUUAUAAUUGAAGGCUAGUAUGAAUGGUUUGACGAGAACAGCACUGUCUCCUUUUUAUUUUCAAGAAUUUAACUUUUAGGUGAAGAGGCCUAAAUCUUAUUGAAGGACAAGAAGACCCUGUCGAGCUUAAAAGAUGUUGUAGAAUCUUAUAUACUUUUAAAUAAAUUUUCUAUUAAAGAACUUUUUAGUUGGGGCGACUAAGGAACAAAAAAAGCUUCUUGUUAAUAAUAAACAGUCAUGUUUAGAUCCAAUAAAGUAAUUGAUUAAAGAAAUUAGUUACCGCAGGGAUAACAGCAUAAUCUCUCUUGAGAGGCCUAAUUGAAAGAGGGGGUUGUGACCUCGAUGUUGGACUAGAAUAUCCUAAAGAUGCAGAAGUCUUUGAGGGUUGGUCUGUUCGACCAUUAAAAUUCU
This 511-nucleotide ribosomal RNA is filed under the name Semisulcospira coreana. RNAcentral describes it as "partial 16S ribosomal RNA". It matches the Rfam family "Bacterial large subunit ribosomal RNA", at positions 1817 to 2597 of the family's 2925-position model. Lineage: Eukaryota; Metazoa; Mollusca; Gastropoda; Semisulcospiridae. The record is from RNAcentral.